CCUACGGGUGGCAGCAGUAGGGAAUAUUGCUCAAUGGGGGAAACCCUGAAGCAGCAACGCCGCGUGGGGGAUGAAGGUUUUCGGAUUGUAAACUCCUUUUGUUAGAGAAGAUAAUGACGGUAUCUAACGAAUACGCCCCGGCUCACUCCGUGCCAGCAGCCGCGGUACUACGGAGGGUGCAAGCGUUACUCGGAAUCACUGGGCGUAAAGAGCGCGUAGGCGGGAUAGCAAGUCAGAUGUGAAAUCCUAGGGCUUAACCCUAGAACUGCAUUUGAAACUGUUAGUCUAGAGUAUGGGAGAGGUAGGCGGAAUGUGUGGUGUAGGGGUGAAAUGCGUAGAGAUCAAGAGGAAUACUCAUUGCGAAGGCGGCCUGCUAGAACAUAACUGACGCUGAGGCGCGAAAGCGUGGGGAGCAAACAGGAUUAGAUACCCCAGUAGUC
This 440-nucleotide ribosomal RNA is filed under the name uncultured bacterium. Its description in RNAcentral is "partial 16S ribosomal RNA". It matches the Rfam family "Bacterial small subunit ribosomal RNA", at positions 338 to 795 of the family's 1533-position model. The record is from RNAcentral.